RNAcentral lists this ribosomal RNA (208 nucleotides) under uncultured bacterium. RNAcentral describes it as "partial 16S ribosomal RNA". It matches the Rfam family "Bacterial small subunit ribosomal RNA", at positions 568 to 775 of the family's 1533-position model. The record is from RNAcentral.
UCUGUAGGUGGCCCGCUAAGUCACACGUGAAAUCCCUCAGCUUAACUGGGGAACUGCGUGUGAGACUGGCAGGCUUGAGUGCAGGAGAGGAACGCGGAAUUCCAGGUGUAGCGGUGAAAUGCGUAGAUAUCUGGAGGAACACCGGUGGCGAAGGCGGCGUUCUGGACUGUAUCUGACACUGAUAGACGAAAGCCAGGGGAGCAAAACG